This 1361-nucleotide ribosomal RNA is filed under the name Cronobacter sakazakii. Its description in RNAcentral is "partial 23S ribosomal RNA". It matches the Rfam family "Bacterial large subunit ribosomal RNA", at positions 1 to 1402 of the family's 2925-position model. Lineage: Bacteria; Pseudomonadati; Pseudomonadota; Gammaproteobacteria; Enterobacterales; Enterobacteriaceae. The record is from RNAcentral.
GGUUAAGCGAACAAGCGUACACGGUGGAUGCCCUGGCAGUCAGAGGCGAUGAAGGACGUGCUAAUCUGCGAAAAGCGCCGGUAAGGUGAUAUGAACCGUUAUAACCGGCGAUGUCCGAAUGGGGAAACCCGGUGCACUUCGGUGCAUCAUCGUUAGCUGAAUACAUAGGCUAACGAGGCGAACCGGGGGAACUGAAACAUCUAAGUACCCCGAGGAAAAGAAAUCAACCGAGAUUCCCCCAGUAGCGGCGAGCGAACGGGGAACAGCCCAGAGCCUGAAUCAGCUUGUGUGUCAGUGGAACGGUCUGGAAAGGCCGGCGAUACAGGGUGACAGCCCCGUACACGAAGGCACACAGGCUGUGAGCUCGAUGAGUAGGGCGGGACACGUGAUAUCCUGUCUGAAGAUGGGGGGACCAUCCUCCAAGGCUAAAUACUCCUGACUGACCGAUAGUGAACCAGUACCGUGAGGGAAAGGCGAAAAGAACCCCGGCGAGGGGAGUGAAACAGAACCUGAAACCGUGUACGUACAAGCAGUGGGAGCCUUCGUAAGAGGGUGACUGCGUACCUUUUGUAUAAUGGGUCAGCGACUUAUAUUCUGUAGCAAGGUUAACCGUAUAGGGGAGCCGAAGGGAAACCGAGUCUUAACCGGGCGUUAAGUUGCAGGGUAUAGACCCGAAACCCGGUGAUCUAGCCAUGGGCAGGUUGAAGGUUGGGUAACACUAACUGGAGGACCGAACCGACUAAUGUUGAAAAAUUAGCGGAUGACCUGUGGCUGGGGGUGAAAGGCCAAUCAAACCGGGAGAUAGCUGGUUCUCCCCGAAAGCUAUUUAGGUAGCGCCUCGUGAACUCAUCUCCGGGGGUAGAGCACUGUUUCGGCUAGGGGGCCAUCCCGGCUUACCAACCCGAUGCAAACUGCGAAUACCGGAGAAUGUUAUCACGGGAGACACACGGCGGGUGCUAACGUCCGUCGUGAAGAGGGAAACAACCCAGACCGCCAGCUAAGGUCCCAAAGUCAUGGUUAAGUGGGAAACGAUGUGGGAAGGCCCAGACAGCCAGGAUGUUGGCUUAGAAGCAGCCAUCAUUUAAAGAAAGCGUAAUAGCUCACUGGUCGAGUCGGCCUGCGCGGAAGAUGUAACGGGGCUAAACCAUGCACCGAAGCUGCGGCAGCGACACUAUGUGUUGUUGGGUAGGGGAGCGUUCUGUAAGCCUGUGAAGGUGUGCUGUGAGGCAUGCUGGAGGUAUCAGAAGUGCGAAUGCUGACAUAAGUAACGAUAAAGCGGGUGAAAAGCCCGCUCGCCGGAAGACCAAGGGUUCCUGUCCAACGUUAAUCGGGGCAGGGUGAGUCGACCCCUAAGGCGAGGC